Molecule: small nucleolar RNA, 68 nt
Filed under: Nippostrongylus brasiliensis
Lineage: Eukaryota; Metazoa; Nematoda; Chromadorea; Rhabditida; Heligmosomidae
Description: Caenorhabditis snoRNA ceN70
Rfam family: Caenorhabditis snoRNA ceN70
Source: Rfam by way of RNAcentral
GCGCAAUGAAUGCAUACCAUCUUUCGGGGCAUAACCAUCUUGAUGAUAACAUAACCCUACUGAGCGCA